GACGAACUGUGCAAACGUUAUUCGGAAUCACUGGCUUACAGGGUGCGUAGGCGGCUUAGCAAGUCAGGUGUGAAAGCCCCGGCUCAACCGGGAACUGCGCUUGAAACUGCUGAGCUCGAGUCAGCUAGAGGUACACGGAACUUCCAGUGGAGCGGUGAAAUGUGUUGAUAUUGGAAGGAACACCGGAGGCGAAAGCGGUGUACUGGGCUGGUCUGACGCUGAGCACGAAGCCAGGAGCGAACGG
RNAcentral lists this ribosomal RNA (244 nucleotides) under uncultured bacterium. Its description in RNAcentral is "partial 16S ribosomal RNA". It matches the Rfam family "Bacterial small subunit ribosomal RNA", at positions 524 to 775 of the family's 1533-position model. The record is from RNAcentral.